This 480-nucleotide small RNA is filed under the name Magnusiomyces capitatus. Its description in RNAcentral is "eukaryotic LSU rRNA". The stretch from base 153 to 291 matches the Rfam family "5.8S ribosomal RNA". The record is from RNAcentral. Lineage: Eukaryota; Fungi; Ascomycota; Dipodascomycetes; Dipodascales; Dipodascaceae.
UGGAAGUAAAAGUCGUAACAAGGUUUCCGUAGGUGAACCUGCGGAAGGAUCAUUCACAAGAUUAUAUUUUAUAUUACUUUGUGGAACAUUUGGUUGAAUUUACAUGUUUUAUUACAAAAAAUUAAUUAUAAUUAAAAAAAUAAUUUUAAGAAAACCUCCAACAACGGAUCUCUUGGUUCCCAGAUCGAUGAAGAGCGCAGCGAAUUGCGAAAUGUGAUGUGUAUUGCAGUGAAUCAUCAAUUCUUGAACGCACAUGGCACCCCUUUUAGGGGUAUGCUUGUAUGAGGGUGUUUAAUAUGAAAUUGCUUUGGCUUUUUUUAAAUAAAUGGUUUUUCAAAUUGUUACUAAUAGACGAAAGAAUCAGUGCAACAAGCUGUGUUGAAUCUUUCAUUAAAUCUUUUAGUUAACUACUUUAACUAUUUGCACCUCAUAUCAAGCAAGACUACCCGCUGAACUUAAGCAUAUCAAUAAGCGGAGGAA